RNAcentral lists this ribosomal RNA (468 nucleotides) under uncultured bacterium. RNAcentral describes it as "partial 16S ribosomal RNA". It matches the Rfam family "Bacterial small subunit ribosomal RNA", at positions 28 to 507 of the family's 1533-position model. The record is from RNAcentral.
GACGAACGCUGGCGGCGUGCUUAACACAUGCAAGUCGAACGGAAAGGCCCUGCUUUUGUGGGGUGCUCGAGUGGCGAACGGGUGAGUAACACGUGAGUAACCUGACCUUGACUUUGGGAUAACGUCAGGAAACUGGGGCUAAUACCGGAUAGGAGCUCCUGCUGCAUGGUGGGGGUUGGAAAGUUUCGGCGGUUGGGGAUGGACUCGCGGCUUAUCAGCUUGUUGGUGGGGUAGUGGCUUACCAAGGCUUUGACGGGUAGCCGGCCUGAGAAGGUGACCGGCCACAUUGGGACUGAGAUACGGCCCAGACUCCUACGGGAGGCAGCAGUGGGGAAUAUUGCACAAUGGGCGGAAGCCUGAUGCAGCAACGCCGCGUGCGGGAUGACUGCCUUCGGGUUGUAAACCGCUUUCGCCUGUGACGAAGCGUGAGUGACGGUAAUGGGUAAAGAAGCACCGGCUAACUACGUG